Molecule: ribosomal RNA, 517 nt
Filed under: uncultured Staphylococcus sp.
Lineage: Bacteria; Bacillati; Bacillota; Bacilli; Caryophanales; Staphylococcaceae
Description: bacterial SSU rRNA
Rfam family: Bacterial small subunit ribosomal RNA
Source: RNAcentral
AGAGUUUGAUCCUGGCUCAGGAUGAACGCUGGCGGCGUGCCUAAUACAUGCAAGUCGAGCGAACAGAUAAGGAGCUUGCUCCUUUGACGUUAGCGGCGGACGGGUGAGUAACACGUGGGUAACCUACCUAUAAGACUGGAAUAACUCCGGGAAACCGGGGCUAAUGCCGGAUAAUAUUUAGAACCGCAUGGUUCUAAAGUGAAAGAUGGUUUUACUAUCACUUAUAGAUGGACCCGCGCCGUAUUAGCUAGUUGGUGGGGUAAUGGCUUACCAAGGCAACGAUACGUAGCCGACCUGAGAGGGUGAUCGGCCACACUGGAACUGAGACACGGUCCAGACUCCUACGGGAGGCAGCAGUAGGGAAUCUUCCGCAAUGGGCGAAAGCCUGGCGGAGCAACGCCGCGUGAGUGAUGAAGGUCUUCGGAUCGUAAAACUCUGUUAUUAGGGAAGAACAAAUGUGUAAGUAACUGUGCACGUCUUGACGGUACCUAAUCAGAAAGCCACGGCUAACUACGUG